GCGGACGUGGCGGAACUGGCAGACGCGCUGGAUUUAGGUUCCAGUGCCCGCAAGGGCGUGUGGGUUCAACUCCCGCCGUCCGCACCA
This 87-nucleotide transfer RNA is filed under the name Candidatus Solibacter sp. Its description in RNAcentral is "tRNA-Leu". It matches the Rfam family "tRNA". From Rfam's summary of the family: Transfer RNA (tRNA) molecules are approximately 80 nucleotides in length. Their secondary structure includes four short double-helical elements and three loops (D, anti-codon, and T loops). Further hydrogen bonds mediate the characteristic L-shaped molecular structure. tRNAs have two regions of fundamental functional importance: the anti-codon, which is responsible for specific mRNA codon recognition, and the 3' end, to which the tRNAs corresponding amino acid is attached (by aminoacyl-tRNA synthetases). tRNAs cope with the degeneracy of the genetic code in two manners: having more than one tRNA (with a specific anti-codon) for a particular amino acid; and 'wobble' base-pairing, i.e. permitting non-standard base-pairing at the 3rd anti-codon position. Lineage: Bacteria; Pseudomonadati; Acidobacteriota; Terriglobia; Bryobacterales; Solibacteraceae. The record is from RNAcentral.